This 253-nucleotide ribosomal RNA is filed under the name uncultured bacterium. RNAcentral's name for it is "partial 16S ribosomal RNA". It matches the Rfam family "Bacterial small subunit ribosomal RNA", at positions 524 to 776 of the family's 1533-position model. The record is from RNAcentral.
UACGGGGGGGGCAAGCGUUGUUCGGAAUUACUGGGCGUAAAGCGUGCGCAGGCGGUUGUGCAAGACAGAUGUGAAAUCCCCGGGCUUAACCUGGGAACUGCAUUUGUGACUGCACGGCUAGAGUGCGGCAGAGGGGGAUGGAAUUCCGCGUGUAGCAGUGAAAUGCGUAGAUAUGCGGAGGAACACCGAUGGCGAAGGCAAUCCCCUGGGCCUGCACUGACGCUCAUGCACGAAAGCGUGGGGAGCAAACAGG